CAGCCGCCACGGUAAUACGAAGGGUGCAAGCGUUACUCGGAAUUACUGGGCGUAAAGCGUGCGUAGGUGGUGGUUUAAGUCCGUUGUGAAAGCCCUGGGCUCAACCUGGGAAUUGCAGUGGAUACUGGGUCGCUAGAGUGUGGUAGAGGAUAGUGGAAUUUCCGGUGUAGCAGUGAAAUGCGUAGAGAUCGGAAGGAACAUCUGUGGCGAAGGCGACUAUCUGGGCCAACACUGACACUGAGGCACGAAAGCGUGGGGAGCAAACAGGAUUAGAUACCCCCGUAGUCCCUGUCUCUUAUAC
RNAcentral lists this ribosomal RNA (301 nucleotides) under uncultured bacterium. RNAcentral describes it as "partial 16S ribosomal RNA". It matches the Rfam family "Bacterial small subunit ribosomal RNA", at positions 509 to 807 of the family's 1533-position model. The record is from RNAcentral.